UACGUAGGGGGCAAGCGUUGUUCGGAAUUACUGGGCGUAAAGCGCACGUAGGCGGCUUUGUAAGUUAGAGGUGAAAGCCCGGAGCUCAACUCCGGAACUGCCUUUAAGACUGCAUCGCUAGAAUUGUGGAGAGGUGAGUGGAAUUCCGAGUGUAGAGGUGAAAUUCGUAGAUAUUCGGAAGAACACCAGUGGCGAAGGCGACUCACUGGACACAUAUUGACGCUGAGGUGCGAAAGCGUGGGGAGCAAACAGG
This 253-nucleotide ribosomal RNA is filed under the name uncultured bacterium. Its description in RNAcentral is "partial 16S ribosomal RNA". It matches the Rfam family "Bacterial small subunit ribosomal RNA", at positions 524 to 776 of the family's 1533-position model. The record is from RNAcentral.